RNAcentral lists this ribosomal RNA (253 nucleotides) under uncultured bacterium. RNAcentral's name for it is "partial 16S ribosomal RNA". It matches the Rfam family "Bacterial small subunit ribosomal RNA", at positions 524 to 776 of the family's 1533-position model. The record is from RNAcentral.
UACGUAGGGUGCAGGCGUUAAUCGGAAUUACUGGGCGUAAAGCGUGCGCAGGCGGUUUCUUAAGUCAGAUGUGAAAGCCCCGGGCUUAACCUGGGAACUGCGUUUGAAACUGGGAGACUUGAGUGUGGCAGAGGGGGGUGGAAUUCCACGUGUAGCAGUGAAAUGCGUAGAUAUGUGGAGGAACACCAAUUGCGAAGGCAGCUCGCUGGGACGUUACUGACGCUGAGACGCGAAAGCGUGGGGAGCAAACAGG